CGUAACAAGGUUUCCGUAGGUGAACCUGCGGAAGGAUCAUUAGUGAAUAAAUAGGGUGUCCAAUUUAACUUGGAACCCGACCUUCUCACAUCUAACCCUGUGCAUCUGUAUUUAAUGGCGAGCAAUUUUCGGAUUGUGAGCCAUUUCACUUUAUAAACACUAGUCUAUGAAUGUAAAAUUUUUAUAACAAAUAAAAACUUUCAACAACGGAUCUCUUGGCUCUCGCAUCGAUGAAGAACGCAGCGAAAUGCGAUACGUAAUGUGAAUUGCAGAAUUCAGUGAAUCAUCGAAUCUUUGAACGCAUCUUGCGCUCUCUGGUAUUCCGGAGAGCAUGUCUGUUUGAGUGUCAUGAAUUCUUCAACCCAACUGUUUCUUGUAAACAGCUGGUGUUUGGAUUCUGAGCGCUGCUGGCUUCGUGCCUAGCUCGUUCGUAAUACAUCAGCAUCCCUAAUACAAGUUUGGAUUGACUUGGCGUAAUAGACUAUUCGCUAAGGAUUCAAUGUUCGCAUUGAGCCAACUUAAUUAAGGAAGCUUCUAAUUGAAAAGUCUACCUUUAGAUUAGAUCUCAAAUCAGGCAGGACUACCCGCUGAACUUAAGCAUA
RNAcentral lists this ribosomal RNA (602 nucleotides) under uncultured fungus. RNAcentral's name for it is "eukaryotic LSU rRNA". The stretch from base 196 to 349 matches the Rfam family "5.8S ribosomal RNA". Lineage: Eukaryota; Fungi. The record is from RNAcentral.